This 73-nucleotide transfer RNA is filed under the name Ipomoea nil (Japanese morning glory). It matches the Rfam family "tRNA". From Rfam's summary of the family: Transfer RNA (tRNA) molecules are approximately 80 nucleotides in length. Lineage: Eukaryota; Viridiplantae; Streptophyta; Magnoliopsida; Solanales; Convolvulaceae. The record is from Rfam by way of RNAcentral.
GGGGAUGUAACUCAUAUGGUAAAGUGUUCGCUUUGCAUGCAAGAGGUAUGAGGAUCAAUACCCCGCAUCUCUA